Molecule: ribosomal RNA, 398 nt
Filed under: uncultured bacterium
Lineage: Bacteria
Description: partial 16S ribosomal RNA
Rfam family: Bacterial small subunit ribosomal RNA
Source: RNAcentral
AAUAUUGCACAAUGGGGGAAACCCUGAUGCAGCGACGCCGCGUGAGUGAAGAAGUNUUNNGGUAUNUNAAGCUCUAUCAGCAGNNNNNAAAAUGACGGUCCCUGACUAAGAAGCCCCGGCUAACUACGUGUCAGCAGCCGCGGUAAUACGUAGGGGGCAAGCGUUAUCCGGAUUUACUGGGUGUAAAGGGAGCGUAGGUGGCGAGUCACGUCAGAUGUGAAAGCCCGGGGCUCAACCCCGGGAUUGCAUUUGAAACUGGUUUGCUAGAGUGCAGGAGAGGUAAGUGGAAUUCCUAGUGUAGCGGUGAAAUGCGUAGAUAUUAGGAGGAACACCAGUGGCGAAGGCGGCUUACUGGACUGUAACUGACACUGAGGCUCGAAAGCGUGGGGAGCAAACAG